GAUGAACGCUGGCGGCGUGCCUAAUACAUGCAAGUCGAGCGGAAAGGCCCUUCGGGGUACUCGAGCGGCGGACGGGUGAGUAACGCGUAAGAAUGUACCCCAAAGUGAGGAAUAACUGCUCGAAAGAGUAGCUAAUGCCGCAUGUGCUCUUCGGAGGAAAGCUUUAUGCGCUUUGGGAACAGCUUGCGUCUGAUUAGCUAGUUGGUAAGGUAACGGCUUACCAAGGCGACGAUCAGUAGCUGGUCUGAGAGGAUGAUCAGCCACACUGGGACUGAGACGCGGCCCAGACUCCUGUGGGAGGCAGCAGUAGGGAAUUUUCCACAAUGGACGAGAGUCUGAUGGAGCAACGCCGCGUGCUGGAUGAAGGCCUUCGGGUCGUAAACAGCUUUUGUCUGUGACGAAUAUGACGGUAGCAGACGAAUAAGGAUCGGCUAACUACGUGCCAGCAGCCGCGGUAA
Molecule: ribosomal RNA, 458 nt
Filed under: uncultured bacterium
Lineage: Bacteria
Description: partial 16S ribosomal RNA
Rfam family: Bacterial small subunit ribosomal RNA
Source: RNAcentral